CUGUAAGCCUGUGAAGGUGUACUGUGAGGUAUGCUGGAGGUAUCAGAAGUGCGAAUGCUGACAUAAGUAACGAUAAAGCGGGUGAAAAGCCCGCUCGCCGGAAGACCAAGGGUUCCUGUCCAACGUUAAUCGGGGCAGGGUGAGUCGACCCCUAAGGCGAGGCCGAAAGGCGUAGUCGAUGGGAAACAGGUUAAUAUUCCUGUACUUGGUGUUACUGCGAAGGGGGGACGGAGAAGGCUAUGUUGGCCGGGCGACGGUUGUCCCGGUUUAAGCGUGUAGGCUGGUUUUCCAGGCAAAUCCGGAAAAUCAAGGCUGAGGCGUGAUGACGAGGCACUACGGUGCUGAAGCAACAAAUGCCCUGCUUCCAGGAAAAGCCUCUAAGCAUCAGGUAACAUCAAAUCGUACCCCAAACCGACACAGGUGGUCAGGUAGAGAAUACCAAGGCGCUUGAGAGAACUCGGGUGAAGGAACUAGGCAAAAUGGUGCCGUAACU
RNAcentral lists this ribosomal RNA (493 nucleotides) under Escherichia coli. RNAcentral's name for it is "partial 23S ribosomal RNA". It matches the Rfam family "Bacterial large subunit ribosomal RNA", at positions 1241 to 1735 of the family's 2925-position model. The record is from RNAcentral. RNAcentral also lists the same sequence under 2 other names. Lineage: Bacteria; Pseudomonadati; Pseudomonadota; Gammaproteobacteria; Enterobacterales; Enterobacteriaceae.